CAGCCCAGGUCCAGGACCAUGGGCUGUGAUCUUCUCUGCCCUUGCCCUGGAUGUGGGGUCCUCUCGAAUGUUUUCUCCUGAAGAAGAGGGGCGGCAUCACCCUCAGCCUGGAGGUGCGCCUGGAGGUCAUGCCUGUGGCCCAGAGUUGGAAGCAACCCAAGUCUCUGCGGACAGAUGAAUGAAGAAGCAAAAUGUGGUGUCUUGCAUCCAGGGGGACGUUCUGACACGUGUAGCAACAUGGCUGCACCUUGAGGACUUCAUUCCCCAGCUGCUGCAGCCCUCCUGCCUUGGGAAUAUAGUGAAGCUAAGGAAGCUGUGGAGUUCACUGGGCCUGGUUCUCAGCACAGCACCUGACCUUACAGAUCAUGUGCGUCACUAUGUUGAAUCAUCACAACUCUGUGAAGUAUCCUCAUGCUCUCGGUUUUCUACAUGAAGAAAGGGCUCAGAGAGGCGAUGUUACUUGUCCCAAGCUACACAGCUGAUGAGUAAAUGGAUCCAGGACUGAACCCAGGUCCACUCCCAAGCCUCUCCAAAAGUGUCACUAUCUAAAAAUCUGGACACAGAGGACAGACAGGAAUGAGUGGAAGGAUGUGGGAGUGUCUCCAUUCUUGAGUCUUCAGACAGUACCUUCCAACAGGUAUUAGGAAGGUACAGCACAGAUGCCCAGACUGGCAAUGGAGACAGGGGUUGGGGGGUGGGCAGGUCUGGACACCUGAGGACUCUGGGGGAAUCUCUGGAAGAAUUGGGGUUCAUGCCUAAAGCAGGUUGCUGAGGCAUCCCAUCAUGAGUCAUUCCCCAGAUCUAAGCCCUUUCUCUGAAAUGCUCACUCCAUGGGCCCAGCCCAAGGCCUAGCUGGUUUUUAGAUAGCGGGGCAGCACCUGCCUCAUACUCCAGGAAGGAAAACUGAGGCCAUGCAAGACCCAAAGGAAGUGCCCCAAAGCAAGUGAAUUGAAAGCCAGUCGGAAAAGGAGAAAGCAACCCUGGGGGAGGAAGGAGGCCGGCCUGCAGAGCCUGCAGGAGCUGAGCCACCAGGGGGCGCCCUCCUCCAGCUCCGGGUGGUGCAGCAUAGGUCCUGGAACCACUGGUAGAACGGUGGGUGUGUGUGGUGUUGGGGUCACUCACACCCCUGGAAGGAGAAGCUGGGGAUAGAGCUGGUGAGGGAGACUCUCUACAUUGUCUGGAUUUUCUACCAAGAUGUGUUUCUAAUGUAAUUACACAAAUAAGCUUAAAAGCACAGAAGAGGUAGGUGGCGCAUACCUAUGAUCCCAGCUAUGGGGGAGGCUGAGGCAGUCCCAUCACAAGUUCAAGGUCAGUCCAGGCAACCUAAAGAGACCCUGUCUCAAAAUCAAACCUUCGAAAGUCCUGGUGAUGUAACUCGGUUUCAGAGCAUUUGCCUAGCAUGAGCGAGGCCCUAGGUCCCAUCCCCAGCACCAAAAUAUAAACAGAAACAAAACGAAAGAAGUUAUUUCCCGGAUUUGGGGGCCUUUCUGGCCCUGGGGCCUGAAAGUCUGUCUGUUUCCAAACACUGGCCUUGAGGGGACUCCACCUGACCUGGAGAGCUUCCAGGGGGAGUCCUUUUAAUGGACGCCAGCUGCGAAUUCCAGGCACCCUGAUAGGAGAGUCCUACAUGGACCUGCCACGGGCAUCCCUGGGUGUGGCACUCAGGUCCAGGCCCUCCUCAUGUGUGGUGCCAGAGUGCCUCUGCCUCCUGGGCUACAGAUACCCCUGUGUCUUGGGCUCAGACACCCUGGAGAUCCCCCCACUGAGGACUCAGUCCCUUAACUGAGCCACCUGACUUUGGUUCGCGGACACUCACAUCACCAUACCAAGAUUUCUUUUGGCCUCUGUCCAGGUCCCAGGCACCCCAUGCCUUUCUCCUCUCCCAUGUAUCUGUUCCAGAAAGGAUGCUGGGCCUUGGGGUGGACCGUCAGACGGAAAGAUCUUUUGGCCCAGGUCUCUGCCCUAAUUGGGACUCUUGGCCUCCUUUGAGCAAGUGGUGCCCGUGACCUGCAGGUCUCAGCUAGGGGUUUUUUGCCCUCCCAGAGAAAUUUAGCAACUCUGAAGAGACUCUGGUUGUCAUGAUUGGCAGCACAGCUGGCAAGGAGCGGGAAUGGGUUAAGGAUGCUGCUAAGCCUCUCUUGGUGCCUAGGUCAGCCCCCAAACAGAACUGUCCAGCCCAAAGUGUCAAAAGUACCCCAGGUGAGAAACUGCUAGGCACGCACAGCAGAGAGCAGGCUGCACCCGGAGGAAUUUGAGGUAAAGAAAGUGAUGAGAACUGAGGAGGGGGGUGGGGGUGAAUUUGAAGAGGGGAAACCACUGGCCUUGGGUCCAUAGACCUGGGCCCCCCUGGCCAGGUGGGAGCCUUGUGCAGGUCACUUAGCUCCCUAAACGUCAGUGUCCUCAUUUGGUGAAGUCCAAAUGUGAAUGUGUAAGAAGCAAACUUGGACCUUGGCACACGGAAGAGGCUCCUUAACGGAGAUGGGGGCGCGGGGAUGCAGGGAUGAGCACCUCCCAGGAGCUACCUUGAUCUUGGAAUUCCAAGAAAGGCCCAGAAGCCAUUUCUUCUUUCUGUCUCUCCAGCCCUCAGAGGUGCCCAGGUGCCCGCCCAGACAAGGAAGGGGCACCGGCCUGCACUCACCGCUGUGGCUUUCUCCAUCACUGGUGAUGUACGGGUAAUAUUCAUGCGUCUGGCGUUGGUAUAGAUCCGUGUCAUAGGAAACCAGGUCUUCUGACGGCUGCCGAGAGAGAGGAGGGUGUCAAGGCCUGGGCUAGGGGGAGCCCCCAGCCAGGUUUGCACCCCCAGUGUGUCAGGUCCACACACCUUCCCUGAACAAGCUCUUCCUCUGCUUGAAAUCCAAAAGGUCAAGGCCACAGGGAAAGGGGCAGGGGCCCCGGGAGAGCUAAAGGCAGUGACAGGGACCUUGGAGGAAAGAGAUCCCAAGAGGAUGAGAGGGGAGGGUGCAGCCCCCACCCCUGCUUGGCUGGCCCCCACGACACGUUAUGGCUUGGGUCUGGAAUGUCCCCCAAAGCUUCACAUAGGAGGCUUGGUCCCCAGUUCAGAGGUGGGGCUUUGGGAAGUGACCAGUUCACGAGAGCUUUGACCUCACAGUGGAUUACUCCACUGAUGGAUUCAUAGCUGACUGGACUCUGAGGAGGGGGCAGAAACUGUAGGAGGUGGGGCCUAUUGAAGGGAGUGAGUCCUUGGGGGCAUGCCCUUGGGGACUCUAUCUUGCCCCCAGCCCCUUCCUCCAAGCUCUCUCUGCUUCCCAGCUGCCAGGAGUGAGCAGCUUUGCCCUACCACACCCUCCUCCCAGGAUGCUCUGCCUCACCACAGGCCCAGAACAAUGGAGUCCGCCCACCCUAGACUGAAACUGUGAGCCAAAA
Sciurus carolinensis (gray squirrel) is the source of this 3384-nucleotide long non-coding RNA. RefSeq lists it as uncharacterized. The record is from RefSeq and is a predicted model, not a curated record. NCBI's taxonomy places the organism in Eukaryota, Metazoa, Chordata, Mammalia, Rodentia, Sciuridae. The transcript has 3 exons.